Molecule: ribosomal RNA, 397 nt
Filed under: uncultured bacterium
Lineage: Bacteria
Description: partial 16S ribosomal RNA
Rfam family: Bacterial small subunit ribosomal RNA
Source: RNAcentral
AUACGUAGGGGGCGAGCGUUGUCCGGAAUGAUUGGGCGUAAAGGGCGCGUAGGCGGCCUGUUAAGUCUGGAGUGAAAGUCCUGUUUUCAAGAUGGGAAUUGCUUUGGAUACUGAUGGGCUUGAGUGCAGGAGAGGAUAUCGGAAUUCCCGGUGUAGCGGUGAAAUGCGUAGAGAUUGGGAGGAACACCAGUGGCGAAGGCGACUUACUGGACUGUAACUGACGCUGAGGCGCGAAAGUGUGGGGAGCAAACAGGAUUAGAUACCCUGGUAGUCCACACUGUAAACGAUGAAUGCUAGGUGUAGGGGGUAUCGACCCCUUCUGUGCCGCAGUCAACACAAUAAGCAUUCCGCCUGGGGAGUAGGGCCGCAAGGUUGAAACUCAAAGGAAUUGACGGGG